UUCAGUCAGGAUUCACUUGUGCUAAGGAAAUCAGAAAAAUGGACUUUUCUGGGCUUCCAAGAUGUGUGUUUAUCGUUCUAUAUAAGAAGGUCCCCAAAAUGUGUUCUGUGAAUACUGAGGUUCUGUAUCAUGCUAAUAGAUGCUCUAUGGCAAAAAGGGUUUCCCAGUCAAAUGGGAACAGGAAAUGCUGUAUAUUCUAUCUCUGCCUUAGACGUUCACAGUGUAUGUUGCCAUAUUGCUGAGAAGUCCCGCAGCAAGGAAACCUGUUGAUCUGUUGUCCCCCCAGAUAAACUCUUUUCAUGGAAAAACUGUUUCAAGCUUUAGAUCAUAGCUCAUGAAAUGACUGCUCGAAAGUGUAAACAGAGAACAAAAUUGAUUAUUUUCAGGCUGAUCAUAAAAUUUCUGGAAAUGUCUUAUUCUCAUUCAGCACCACAUAAACAUGAAAUUAAUUCUUCAUUCCAGACUGAAUUCCUGAACACCCUCCACAAACCAGGCUGCAGGCCAGGCCCUGUAUCCAUGAUAGGUCAUGGGUAGUGCUCUGAAGUCUCUGUUGGCCCGGGUAGGACGAUGAACAAUAAAACAGACGAUUAAGGUCAGAACAUUGUGGUAAAUGCUCCCCUAGCAAAGAGUUGUGAGGGAGCACGUCGCAUAGUAUCCAACGCCGUCUGGGAUUUGCGCGUAAGAUUUCUACCUCCUCGCCGAGGCUUGAAGGUGUAGGAAUCGAAGUCAGCCCACUCAAGAGUGACGAUGGAGAAAUGUGUUUGAAACCCACAAAGUGAACGCAGCAGGCUGAAGUCAGAACAGUGGGAGCAGUCAUAAAAUUGGGUCGAACCCCACGAAGUUGCUAUUUUUUUGUAGGUCAGUGUCAAAUAGUCAAGUAUCAGCAAUUUCAUACAGUUCUACAUAAUACUGAGCUAGGAUUUAUCAAGCCCUUAGUUUCUACAAGACACUAAAUGAAUCUAUUUGCAUACUGUUUAGUGUCCCCAGUAAACUGAUAAGUUACAUACUGCUUUUAUCCACAUGUAUACAGAAAAGAAGGUGAGUACAGAGAAGUUAGAUACUUGCCCAGGAUCACAGGGCUAGGAAGUGAGAGAGCCCAGCUUAACAGACACCUCAGCAACCCGAAUUUAAGCCGGCUGGAGCCACAUCGUGCGGGUUGAAGGUUAUGUUGACCCAUAUUACGGAGGUACCAUUAAAAGGUUUUUGUGGUUUGAUACAUGUUUAUAACAACUUUAUUCAUAAUCUCCCCAAAUUGGGAAUGUUGUAAAUUUGCCUCAUGGCUACCACCAGGAGAAUGGAUAAACAAAUUGCAAAUGUAGUCAUAUAGUGGAUUAUGGCUCACUCAAUCUAGGGGCACAUGGCCCCAGCACACCUCAGAGUUGUGCCCUUGAUGAGAACAGGCCAAAGGUUGCCCCAGCCAUCGGCACCUAACUAGGGGGCACCGUGAGCUCAGAGGCCAGCACCUAAAGAUCUGGAGGGAGGUGCUCUGCUUUCUUGGGGAGACUGGACCCUCCUGGCACCUGGGUUAGUAUCUUAGAAGUAAGAGGUGGCAUCAUAAAACCUUGGAGUGUGAUUAAUACUUCACUGAGUCUGUCUUAAA
This is a long non-coding RNA of Neofelis nebulosa (Clouded leopard), 1600 nucleotides long. RefSeq lists it as uncharacterized. The transcript is spliced from 2 exons. The record is from RefSeq and is a predicted model, not a curated record. NCBI's taxonomy places the organism in Eukaryota, Metazoa, Chordata, Mammalia, Carnivora, Felidae.